Molecule: ribosomal RNA, 492 nt
Filed under: uncultured bacterium
Lineage: Bacteria
Description: partial 16S ribosomal RNA
Rfam family: Bacterial small subunit ribosomal RNA
Source: RNAcentral
AGUGAACGCUGGCGGUAGGCCUAACACAUGCAAGUCGAACGGCAGCACAUUAAGAGCUUGCUCGUACGGGUGGCGAGUGGCGGACGGGGGGGGAAUACAUCGGAAUCUACUUUUUCGUGGGGGGUAACGUAGGGAAACUAACGCGAAUACCUCAUACGACCGACGGGUGAAAGCAGGGGAUCUUCGGACCUUGCGCGAUUGAGUGAGCCGAUGUCGGAUUAGCUAGUUGGCGGGGUAAAGGCCCACCAAGGCGACGAUCCGUAGCUGGUCUGAGAGGAUGAUCAGCCACACUGGAACUGAGACACGGUCCAGACUCCUACGGGAGGCAGCAGUGGGGAAUAUUGGACAAUGGGCGCAAGCCUGAUCCAGCCAUACCGCGUGGGCGAAGAAGGCCUUCGGGUUGUAAAGCCCUUUUGUUGGGAAAGAAAAGCAGCAGGUUAAUACCCCGCUGUUCUGACGGUACCCAAAGAAUAAGCACCGGCUAACUUCGUG